CUGGAGGGCUGGUUAAGAGUAUGAAAUCAGUCUGUGAAUUACGCUUAAGAAAAACAUCCGCUUGCCAUUUCUCAAGCAAGAUUAGCUACACAUUUAAUAUUCAUAUCCGCCAGAAGUCAUCAGUUAAUUACAACCAGAAUCGAAUCCCAUCAAAAUCACACUCCUUCACCACAAACUUCCAUCAAACAGCACCAUCAAUUGAACAUGCAUAUCCAUAUGCUUAAUAAUCCCAUGAGAUUUUUGCCAUCUCAGCCUACAAAGAGCAAUUUACAUCCGUGAGGAGUCAACAAAAGUACCAACAAAUACACAAAUGGGCGAAGGUGUCAAUCAAACUCUUCUUUUUUUCUCAAAAUGUCUGAACUCUAUACACUUGGCAAUAUUAACUUCUAAAUAUUUGUACAGUCCGCAAACAUUCCAAAACACACAGCAUCAGGUCCUUGAGGAUAAGAUUGUGCAAUGCAAUGAUAUGACCAAGAACUAGAAUGUCAAUGUUCCUGGUACAAAACCACUGAAAGCAAAAAAGAAAAAGAAAAAAGAACUUGUUCACCAAUUUAAUACCUAUAAAAAUCAAUUAUUUAUUUAAAUGCUGAAAUGCUUGAGAACGAUUGGCAUUGAUGCUUGUCAUGGAUAAUGUGGAAUCCAACAAAGCUAAACAGCUGAACUCUUAGGAGCAUAGUGUGACUCCAAGUCACUUUAAUUAAGAAAAUUCAUAUUAUAAAAGUUCCAUAUAACCAAGGAAAUGUUGAAAGUAGCAAUGUCAGAAAGAAAAUCUAUUUCCAUCACAAGGCUAGAUGUUUUUUAGAAGUGGCGAUAGGCCAUUAGCCACAGGUGAGACCCAGCAACUACCAUUUGCACCAACAGUAAAUGUACACUAAAUUCAACAAAUACCUCACACCUGCGACCUAUUUCAGAAGAAAAAUAACAGCUUCUAAUCAUAAGGACCUCUUUCACACAUUUGUGCAAUGCAUGCAAAGAUGAGUGGAUAUUGGGCAGCUAAAUGAAUAAAAUUAUAUUGUGCAAUCUAACAAUGAGGCAGCGUGAUAUGUUGGGGUCACCACUGAGAUCCGACUCUUUCUGGAAAAUAGAUUAGAUAAUGCAGGGUCUUUGUAAAAGCCAAAUCAGGGAAAAAAAACAUACGCAGGAUAGUAGGAUAGAAUUUAAGAAAGGUCUAAAACUAUCAAAGAACACUAUAGGAAGCAGAUCUAUCAGGAAGGAAAAAAAGUAUACAAGCCUAAAUUUUUAGCCAUUUUCAACGUUGUGCCUAAAUGGACACCUCAAAAUGUUAAGUUUCCCACUAGCCCAACCUUACUCCAAGCACGCAUUCUGCAUGCUCAAUCCAAAAAAAACAUCAAUCAUGCCAUGCCACAUGAGAUAUAGAAUUUUUCUUAGCUAAAGACCAUUACAAUUCCAAGGAACACUCUUUAAACAGCUAAGAAAUACGUACCCUUUCACUUGAUUAUAUCAGAGAAAUAUGUUCCAAUUUUGAACAUAAUAGUAAAAUCCAAAGAUAUUAUAAGUUGUUGAAGCAAUAAUCAAACCCAUGAUAACUAGUAAAACGAAAAAACGAAUGUAAUGUCACACCUCAGAUGCAUUCUUCAAAUGGUCAAGCUCCUUGUCUAGGUCAUUGAUACAUUGUUUCAGGCCUGCAUUGGCGACGACUGGCUAGUUGUGUAAAAAAAUCAAACCCCAGAAUUGUUAAAAGCAGAACUACUGAAACAAUGACUGUGUAAGGAAUAGGUAUAAGCGCAUGUAUAAAUGCAUGAGAGGGAGGAGUGACAAAAUAAGGACCCUGGCAAUUAUUUUUUGCUCCGUUGUAAUUUUAGCAUUAGCAAUUUCCGCUGUCAAACCGUGGAGGAUGCACAGUCUUUCAACUCAAUUGUAGUGUUCGGGAAAAAACUCAAGUCUGUUCAAUCCACUCACACGCUGCGGGAAGAGAACGUUAUUGCAAGGCAUGA
RNAcentral lists this long non-coding RNA (1955 nucleotides) under Populus tremula. Its description in RNAcentral is "long non-coding RNA (PTRE_LNC000194)". The record is from RNAcentral. Lineage: Eukaryota; Viridiplantae; Streptophyta; Magnoliopsida; Malpighiales; Salicaceae.